AUAAGUAAUGUGAUGUGCAGAAUUCCGUGAAUCAUCGAAUCUUGGAACGCACAUUGCGCCCUCUGGUAUUCCGGGGGCAUGCCUGUCCGAGCGUCAUUGCGAACCCUCAAGCACGGCUUGUGUGUUGGGCCGCCGUCCCCUCGUUUGGAGGGGACGGGCCUGAAAGGCAGCGGCGGCGUCGCGUCCGGUCCUCGAGCGUAUGGGGCUCUGUCACGCGCUCAAGGAGGGGUCCGGCCGGGGCCAUAGCCUCUGAAGGUCAAUUCUUCCAAGGUUGACCUCGGAUCAGGUAGGAGUACCCGCUGAACUUAAGCAUAUCAAUAAGCGGAGGAAAAGAAACCAACAGGGAUUGCCUCAGUAACG
RNAcentral lists this ribosomal RNA (360 nucleotides) under uncultured fungus. RNAcentral's name for it is "eukaryotic LSU rRNA". The stretch from base 273 to 360 matches the Rfam family "Eukaryotic large subunit ribosomal RNA", at positions 1 to 88 of the family's 3401-position model. Lineage: Eukaryota; Fungi. The record is from RNAcentral.